This 254-nucleotide ribosomal RNA is filed under the name uncultured bacterium. RNAcentral's name for it is "partial 16S ribosomal RNA". It matches the Rfam family "Bacterial small subunit ribosomal RNA", at positions 524 to 776 of the family's 1533-position model. The record is from RNAcentral.
UACGGGGGGAGCAAGCGUUGUUCGGAUUUACUGGGCGUAAAGGGCGCGUAGGCGGUCACGACAAGUCAGUUGUGAAAUCUCCGGGCUUAACUCGGAACGGUCAACUGAUACUGUCGGACUAGAGUGCAGAAGGGGCAACUGGAAUUCUCGGUGUAGCGGUGAAAUGCGUAGAUAUCGAGAGGAACACCUGCGGCGAAGGCGGGUUGCUGGGCUGACACUGACGCUGAAGCGCGAAAGCUAGGGUAGCAAACGGG